Molecule: ribosomal RNA, 608 nt
Filed under: Salmonella enterica subsp. enterica serovar Kentucky
Lineage: Bacteria; Pseudomonadati; Pseudomonadota; Gammaproteobacteria; Enterobacterales; Enterobacteriaceae
Description: partial 23S ribosomal RNA
Rfam family: Bacterial large subunit ribosomal RNA
Source: RNAcentral
CCCAGACAGCCAGGAUGUUGGCUUAGAAGCAGCCAUCAUUUAAAGAAAGCGUAAUAGCUCACUGGUCGAGUCGGCCUGCGCGGAAGAUGUAACGGGGCUAAACCAUGCACCGAAGCUGCGGCAGCGACGCUGAUGCGUUGUUGGGUAGGGGAGCGUUCUGUAAGCCUGUGAAGGUGGCCUGUGAGGGUUGCUGGAGGUAUCAGAAGUGCGAAUGCUGACAUAAGUAACGAUAAAGCGGGUGAAAAGCCCGCUCGCCGGAAGACCAAGGGUUCCUGUCCAACGUUAAUCGGGGCAGGGUGAGUCGACCCCUAAGGCGAGGCCGAAAGGCGUAGUCGAUGGGAAACGGGUUAAUAUUCCCGUACUUGGUGUUACUGCGAAGGGGGGACGGAGAAGGCUAUGUUGGCCGGGCGACGGUUGUCCCGGUUUAAGCGUGUAGGCUGGUUUUCCAGGCAAAUCCGGAAAAUCAAGGCUGAGGCGUGACGACGAGGCACUACGGUGCUGAAGCAACAAAUGCCCUGCUUCCAGGAAAAGCCUCUAAGCAUCAGGUAACAUCAAAUCGUACCCCAAACCGACACAGGUGGUCAGGUAGAGAAUACCAAGGCGCUUGA